UACGUAGGGGGCAAGCGUUGCCCGGAUUUACUGGGUGUAAAGGGAGCGCAGACGGCAGUGCAAGUCUGAUGUGAAAGCCCGGGGCUCAACCCCGGAACUGCAUUGGAAACUGUACAGCUUGAGUGUCGGAGAGGUAAGCGGAAUUCCUAGUGUAGCGGUGAAAUGCGUAGAUAUUAGGAGGAACACCGGUGGCGAAGGCGGCUUACUGGACGAUUACUGACGUUGAGGCUCGAAAGCGUGGGGAGCAAACAGG
Molecule: ribosomal RNA, 253 nt
Filed under: uncultured bacterium
Lineage: Bacteria
Description: partial 16S ribosomal RNA
Rfam family: Bacterial small subunit ribosomal RNA
Source: RNAcentral